UAUCCCAAAUUUCCAGCUCAUUAUCCCAAAUUCCAGCUCAUUAUCCCAAAUUUCCAGUUCAUUAUCCCGAAUUCCAGCUCAAUAUCCCGAAUUUCCAGCUCAAUAUCCCGAAUUUCCAGCUCAUUAUCCCAAAUUUUGGCUCCGUCCCUUCCUUCCCAUCCGUUAUCCCAAAGCUCUUCCCGGCUCCUCCUUUCCCAUGAAUUUUUUGGGACCCAAAUCCCAAAAUCCCAUCCCCUUUAUCCAAUCCCAAUCCCAAAAUCCCAAAUUUACCCAAAUUCCCAACAUUUUCUCCUCUUUUUCUUUGGGAAAAAAAACCUGGAAAUAACGGAAUUUCCUUGGGAAUUCCAUGGAUUUAUUUAUAAUAUUUACAAAUCCCAAGGAAAAAAAAAAAAGGGAAUUUUUCCAUCGGGACAUUCCCAAACCCAUUGGAAUUCCCAAAAAUCUCCCCCCUGGGAAACAGGAUGGGAAUUCUUGGAAUAUUUUGGGAAUUUGCUGCUCUGGGCACCGGAUCCACCCAGAAAUUCCAGGAAUUUUGGGAAUUUCGCACCCAGGGCAUCAAAUCCAAAUGAGAAUUUUGGGAAUUUUUUGCUCAGGGCAUCAAAUCCCACCUGGAAUUCCAGAAAUUUCCUGGGAACACCUCCGGCAUUUCCGGCUCCGGGGGAAUUCCCUGUUUUCUGGAGGAUUUUCUGGAAGUUUCCCCGGAUUUUCCAGGCGGUUUUUCCCAGAUUUUCCACAUGUUUUUUCCGGAUUUUCCUGGAGAUUUUCCCGGAUUUUCCAGGUGGUUUUUCCCAUUUUUUCCAGGUGGUUUUUCCGGAUUUUCCUGGAGAUUUUCCCAGAUUUUCCAGGAAGUUUUUCCUGGGAUUUUCCAGGUAUUUUCCCCAGAUUUUCCAGGAUGUUUUUCUGGGAUUUUCCAGGCAGUUUUCCCCGGAUUUUCCAGGUGUUUUCCUGGCGUUUUUCUGGGAUUUUCUCUGGGAUUUUCCUGGCGUUUUUUUCCGGGAUUUUCUCUGGAAUUUUCUGGGAUUUUCUCUGGGAUUUUCCAGGCGUUUUUUCCGGGAUUUUCUCUGGGAUUUUCCAGGAUGUUUUCCCUGAUUUUCCAGGCAUGUGUUUUCCCGGAUUUUCCCGACGUUUUUCCGGGAUUUUCAGUACCCGGAGGACCCGGG
This 1160-nucleotide long non-coding RNA is filed under the name Zonotrichia albicollis (white-throated sparrow). Its description in RNAcentral is "lncRNA (ENSZALG00000009266.1)". The record is from RNAcentral. Lineage: Eukaryota; Metazoa; Chordata; Aves; Passeriformes; Passerellidae.